GACGAACGCUGGCGGUGUGCUUAACACAUGCAAGUCGAACGGUAAGGCCCUUUCGGGGGUCCACGAGUGGCGCACGGGUGAGUAACACGUGAGUAACCUGCCCUCAUCUCUGGGAUAACAGUCGGAAACGGUUGCUAAUACUGGAUAUGAGCUUGCAAGGCAUCUUGUGGGUUGGAAAAAUUUUUUUGGUUGGGGAUGGACUCGCGGCCUAUCAGCUUGUUGGUGAGGUAGUGGCUCACCAAGGCUUCGACGGGUAGCCGGCCUGAGAGGGCGACCGGCCACAUUGGGACUGAGAUACGGCCCAAACUCCUACGGGAGGCAGCAGUGGGGAAUAUUGCACAAUGGACGGAAGUCUGAUGCAGCAACGCCGCGUGCGGGAUGACGGCCUUCGGGUUGUAAACCGCUUUCAAUUGUGACGAAGCUUUUUGUGACGGUAGCAGUAGAAGAAGCACCGGCUAACUACGUG
RNAcentral lists this ribosomal RNA (466 nucleotides) under uncultured bacterium. Its description in RNAcentral is "partial 16S ribosomal RNA". It matches the Rfam family "Bacterial small subunit ribosomal RNA", at positions 28 to 507 of the family's 1533-position model. The record is from RNAcentral.